Molecule: long non-coding RNA, 3767 nt
Organism: Ursus thibetanus thibetanus
Lineage: Eukaryota; Metazoa; Chordata; Mammalia; Carnivora; Ursidae
Source: Ensembl
AUGACCCCGGACUCCGGCUCCAUCCCACUCAAAACUCAGCACUGCGGAGCAGAUGCACUGGAGGGAGGGCUUCCGUCUACCCACCCGGCCUUACCUCCCCCAGCUCGGCAGCCUCCUCGUCUGAGCUGCCUGGAGCACAGUUCACACCUAGGAAAGGCAUUUUCACCUCUGUGGCGGACUUCCUCCUUUGUAAAUAGGAGAGCCAGAGCAUGCCUCCUCUCUCCUCUGGCCCCUGCGGUGGCAGAAGUCAGGCCCCCUGAGCCUGCAGCCUGUCCGAUCUGGCCUGUCCCCCCAGAGGCCCUGGCUCCUGGUCUGGAAGGGAGGCGGCCUCCAGCCAGCAUGCACAGAUUGCUGGGGCUGGGAGCCGGGAAGGACAGCUUGGUUCUCUUCUUUGGGGAGAACGUAGAGUUUCAUGCUAGAUGUUUUAUGUAUUAUAUCUAUAAUAUAAACAUAUCAAAGUAAGUUUUGGUGUCUUUUUAAAACCAGAAAAGCUACUUCCAAGGUUUUCCGUGGGCCAGGUCACAUUUGUAAAUAACCACGGCGUAUUCCUGGCUGAGACCCUGACUUUCAUUAGCCCCCCCCACCCUGAGCCCCUCUUUACAUGAAGGGUAACUUCUCCCAACCAAGGCAAAUAGAUGGCAGAAGGAAGGCUCCAAGCUGAGAAAGCCCAAAGCCUGAAGAGAGAGUCUCCCUGGGGGGCGAGAGUUUGAGGGGGGUUCAUAGGGCCUUGGUGUGGCCUCUCACGGGCCCCUGGGAGGAGCAGAGUGCCACGGGCUCUCUGGGACUUGAACAGGCCUGGCUCAGUGGCUGCAGGCUCCGGGGGCCCUUCGGCCACUUUUGCUUCUAGAUCACUCACAGCUCUGGCUCUGUAGCAGCCUUGCUCAUACCUGUCCUGCCUUACCCACCAGUAGGACACCGGGAGGGCAGGGGGAGGCCUCAAGCAGGAUGCCCCUCGGCCCUCCUCACUUGCUCUGGGCUGUGUGGCUCUAGCCUACCCCAGCAGGGUCCCAAAGGGCAGCCUGGAGGCUGAACACCCCUCCGCCCCACCUUCCAUACCUGUCCCAGCCGACCCCGGGGAAGGAGACCCGCGGCAGGCCUGCGGUGGGUACGUGGUCCUUCACACAUACCCCCUGGCAAGGAGCCAGCGCCGGUAUCCACCCUGCCCGCCGUGCCCACCCUGGACCAAGUCCCCCACUCAGACAACGGCCUUGCGAGGUCAGGCACCCCGGCGCCCCCUUAGCCACAGUGGUAGCCAACCAGAGGGGCCCCCGCUCACGCCUGCUAGAACCAGGCCCGGCAGGAUAUAGCACAGGAGCUGGCUGGGUUUUCAGAGCUUACUCUCGCUGAGGGUAAAAGGCAGAUGCUCUUUACCUUCUAUUUUCACCCCCAGAGGAUUCACUGGAGCAGCUUACCGUGUAUGCCAAUGUGGGCUGGGACAGUUUCAAGAAAUUACACACUCCUUUUCAAUUCUGAGAGCUUUAGCUUUACCUGCCCGUGUGGUUAACAGGGGUGCCUUGCCCCUUUCCCGCCCCGGCCCCCGCCCUCUCUGUCCUGUGUCUUGCCGCCUCCUCGCCCAUGGCCGCUCCUGGCAGAGGAAAGGCCACGAGCCCAGUGUGGAGGCGGCUGCCUGCCCCACCGCCCUGGGAACCAAGGAGGCAGAGCCCCACCGCCUGCCUGGAGGCCUAGGGCAGGCCACGGCUUGCUAGGCCCCAGCAAACCCUCUCUGAGUUCAGUGCCUAAUUCCAGUUUUUCUUGUUUGAGGGGGCCAAACAGCCUCCCCCCUUGCCCCCAGAAGGGAUCCCAGGACGAGCAGGGGAGGGCCACCUCUCCUGCCCGCCCUCCUCCCUCUCCCCUCCCACUGCCUCAUCUCCUGGGGUUUCCUCUUUCAAAGCUGUCAGCCUACUAAGGGGCGCCCCUCCUACUAUACACCCUGAGGUCCAGGGCAGACUUGGUUGGGGACAAGACGGAUCCGACCAAAGCCAAGCCCAGGGAAGGACUGGGGCCAGCGGGGGGCCCCCAAGGGACAGAGCAGCCGGCCAUAGGGAGGGGGCAGUGUUGGGCAAACCUGCCUGGCUUGUGCUCUGUGCCUGGCCAGAGGGGCCUCCGGGGCAGAGCUGCUCCUUGCCACCCACUGCUUCCUGCAGGGCCCCCAUGGUUCCCCUCCCGACUGCAGCCUUUGUGAAGAACCACUCCAAGAGCCUGGCACUGAACACACCCCAAGUAUUUAUUGGGUGCCUACUGUGUGCCAGGGCCUGUGCCAAGGAUGGGUCACUCAGCUGGAGAUGAGCAGACUUGGCUCCUACUCUCCGGAGCUCACAGUCUUGUGGUCCCAAGAUGUUUUAAGGGUGACAAGUGCAAUAAAGGGAAGCUCAAAGUGUGACUACACGCCACCAGGGAAGGCUUCCUGGAGGCAGCAGUCUGAUCCAAGACCUGGUCGUGGACCCAGUCCAACGUGCCUGGAUGCCUCUGCCUUGUACUCUCUCAGGACAGGGAGCAGGGACCUCACCCCUCGGUGGGCCACCAAGACCUGAGCCUGCCCCACCGACCAGGCUCAGGUUCUGGUGGCCCCUGAGAGUGCUGUUCAGAGGAGCCAGUCUCCAGGGAAGAAGCAAAGGUAAAAGGGAGAGAGGGAGGUGCUCCUUCGCUGCCGAAUGCCUCCUGAUGGCUUAGCACUGUCACGGAUGUCACCCAUAUCUCCUGGAUCUCCUGGGAAUUUGUGAACGUGGGGUUUGGCUCUGACACCUGUGAUGAGCCACUGGGACCGGUGAGGAGUGUCUGCCGCUCCCAGGUCUCCCGCCCCCUCCUUCCCAGGCAGGAACCUGCCAGGCCUCCUCCAGAAGCUGCUGAUUUCAUGGGAGGAGAGGGGGCCGCGGGGAGAGAAAGGGAAGCCAUUAAAGGGAGAGCAGAGACCCUGACCUUGCUCUUCCCUGAGGCCUGUCCUUCCAGGCACCCACAGGCCUUCUGCAGACACGGGGUAGGGUCCUUGCCUGGACGGUGGCUCUGUCCCAUUUGUUUAUUUCCUAUGCUGGUGGGUGGGGGAAGGCCUUUCUCUUCUCUGCCUUAAAUAGAACUAAACCACCAGCACCUUUGAAAGAUCUUUCUUGUCUCUCUGAAAGAUUAUGCUGUCUCCCUUCUCUUGACACCCCCCCCCACUUCUCCCCUCCCCCAGCCCCUCUCUGUGCAUGGAGCAUUUGACGUAAGCAGAGACAUAGGAAAGAUACCAAUUCACUAUCAAAGCAUCCUAGCCCCAUCCCAGAGCAAUUAAAAAGCCAGAUGGAAUCUCUGGGAAAACGGCAUUAAUAACGCAAACAAUCUGUGCAGGCCGGCAGGGACCCAGGAGCUGCAGGGGGGGGCAGUGGGGGCUGGGAUGCAGGAGCGCGAGCUCACGAGCAACGCUUCAGCCACGUUGUGGCCAGCCGGGGAUGGGGCCAUCACAGGGGUAUGCCUAGAUCUGGCCGCAGCUGGGCUCUCCCCUCCAGCCCCCUGCAAGGCCCGCUGCGCAUCCUGAGUCCUGGUCACUGCAGACGGAGACAGACAAAUGUGGAACCCAUUACUCAAGCAGCCACAGCCCCAGCCGGCCCCAUUCUGGCACCCAAGAGCUUUGCUUCCCUUCACUUUUGUUUUUAUUUAUUAUUUUCUUAGGCUUCUGGCCCCACCCACUAGGAAUAGGACUCCCUAAGCGAUAGCUUCCGGAGAUCUCCUUUCUCUUCAUUCGCCGUGCCCAAGCCCACUGCCCAUGCCUGGCAACAGCAGACAAUGGUGUUGGG